UCUCAAAACUUUCUAAGACGGGGUUCCUGGAUAGUGCGACUGCCUCUAUGUUGUGUUUUCCUGGUGAGUAGAUGACUUUGAAGUCGUACUGCGAUAAGUAGUGCAUCAGGUCUCCAAAAGUUUCAUCGGUUCUUGCUUUGAUUCUCAUUGAUUCCAACGGUUUAUGGUCUGAAAGGACAGUGAAGUAUCUACCGAUUAACUAAUGCUGCCAGUACUGAAUCGCCUCUUUGAUAGCAAGACAUUCAAGGUGGAUUGCUUUGGUAAGCGAUUAGUAUCUGCGAAUUCGUAGAAUUCGUGGAUAAUUCUCGAGCUGUUUCGUGCGCACGCGAUUUUAAGUGGCACGCAAACAGGUGCACCUAUCCGCGUAGCGCAAGAAAUGUAUCACGGAGGUCGUUGCAGGUAAUAUCCAUCGACAGACGGGACAAUUCGGGUGCACAAUCUAUGCCUAUGACUGUGCAGUAGGGCAUACUCUUCUCGACCACUUGUCUGGCGCCAACCACCACUAUUGUCUCGCGAAGGCCAAGCUGUAAAUCUUCGUUGCUUAUACCGUUUUCUUGAAACGACGUUGCGACACAAUCUUCCAGUGUGAGUGGUAGCUUAUUCGGUAAGGGAAAUCACAGUUAAAUUUCAUAAUACGGUAUUUUUAUCGGUACGUAGAACGUUCUCCGGUAAAACAUCAAAAUUAUUCAAUUUUGCAAUUUACAAUGUUUUCUUCGCGCAAGUACCCUUCAAGUAAAUUUAUUAAUUUACUGCAGAGAUUACUCGCGUGUUUUUAUUCUUCGAAAGAAUUGCAAAUUAAGCGUCUAACGCAAUUUUACGUCGUGCAUAUUUAUCCGCAACUGUGAUACGAAUUCAGAGGUUCGACAAGGAAAAAAAAGAAAAAUGAAAAAAUAAUGUGUAUUCUGUGCAACCACGGAGAAAGGAAUAUCCGUUGAACAACCAGUUUGUGAAAUAUCGAUUGAAUUUUUUACCGAAUAACUUGCUGAAAAUAACGUCAAUUGUUUUAAAAUUAAUAAAAUUUGUAUUCCAUGCAAAGAUAUUAAACCGAUAGAAAUGCCGAUUUUA
Long non-coding RNA from Bombus terrestris (buff-tailed bumblebee), 1065 nucleotides. RefSeq lists it as uncharacterized. NCBI's taxonomy places the organism in Eukaryota, Metazoa, Arthropoda, Insecta, Hymenoptera, Apidae. The record is from RefSeq and is a predicted model, not a curated record. The transcript is spliced from 2 exons.